GCUAUACAUGCAAGUCGAGCGAGCUGAAUUCAAAGAUCCCUUCGGGGUGAUUUGUUGGACGCUAGCGGCGGAUGGGUGAGUAACACGUGGGCAAUCUGCCCUAAAGACUGGGAUACCACUUGGAAACAGGUGCUAAUACCGGAUAACAACAUGAAUCGCAUGAUUCAAGUUUGAAAGGCGGCGCAAGCUGUCACUUUAGGAUGAGCCCGCGGCGCAUUAGCUAGUUGGUGGGGUAAAGGCCUACCAAGGCAAUGAUGCGUAGCCGAGUUGAGAGACUGAUCGGCCACAUUGGGACUGAGACACGGCCCAAACUCCUACGGGAGGCAGCAGUAGGGAAUCUUCCACAAUGGACGCAAGUCUGAUGGAGCAACGCCGCGUGAGUGAAGAAGGUUUUCGGAUCGUAAAGCUCUGUUGUUGGUGAAGAAGGAUAGAGGCAGUAACUGGUCUUUAUUUGACGGUAAUCAACCAGAAAGUCACGGCUAACUACGUGCCAGCAGCCGCGGUAAUACGUAGGUGGCAAGCGUUGUCCGGAUUUAUUGGGCGUAAAGCGAGCGCAGGCGGAAUGAUAAGUCUGAUGUGAAAGCCCACGGCUCAACCGUGGAACUGCAUCGGAAACUGUCAUUCUUGAGUGCAGAAGAGGAGAGUGGAACUCCAUGUGUAGCGGUGGAAUGCGUAGAUAUAUGGAAGAACACCAGUGGCGAAGGCGGCUCUCUGGUCUGCAACUGACGCUGAGCUCGAAAGCAUGGGUAGCGAACAGGAUUAGAUACCCUGGUAGUCCAUGCCGUAAACGAUGAGCGCUAGGUGUUGGGGACUUUCCCGGUCCUCAGUGCCGCAGCAAACGCAUUUAAGCGCUCCGCCCUGGGGGAGUACGACCGCAAGUUUGAAACUCAAACGAAUUGAC
Molecule: ribosomal RNA, 901 nt
Filed under: Lactobacillus delbrueckii subsp. indicus
Lineage: Bacteria; Bacillati; Bacillota; Bacilli; Lactobacillales; Lactobacillaceae
Description: bacterial SSU rRNA
Rfam family: Bacterial small subunit ribosomal RNA
Source: RNAcentral